Camellia sinensis is the source of this 1644-nucleotide non-coding RNA. The record is from RefSeq and is a predicted model, not a curated record. Lineage: Eukaryota; Viridiplantae; Streptophyta; Magnoliopsida; Ericales; Theaceae.
UCUAAUAAGAAACAGAGGGAGAAGAAAGACAGUGAAUUGGUUGGAAGGGGAAAGGGUUUUCAAACUCUUGUUCUUCAAAGUUCUACUAUCAAUUGAAUCGGUGGAGAUUGAGAGGCAAACACGGUAGUCCCGAAGCCCGUUGGAGGUUCUUCAAAGCCAUACACUGUGUCGACCUACACAAAACAGAGAGAGGAUCUUGCUAUGAGAGGCAAAUGGUACACUCAUCUUUUCGGCGGCAAGACUAAUUUGACUUUGGCGGUGUGAUUAGAGUGGCUGUGGGUAAUUUCACUCUACCUAAAACCCUAAUCCAACAAAGAAAGAGAAAAGAAUUUGAAGAACAAUCAAAAAAUCUAAAGGGUUCUCUCAGAAUUCUGAUUCCAAUCUUUCUUGGCUCUUACAGAUUUGGUAUUUUUACAUUUGAAAUGAGGUCUGCUAAAAUUUUAUUUUAUUUUGUUUUUUUAUAUAUUUCAGUUGACAAUUAAUGAAAUAAUCGAUGAAUAUUCUCAGGCAUUGGGUUUUUUACAUUGAUUAGUGUAAUAUUUUGGAGCCAUACUUUUUCUUGUAGGGUGUAAAAAAUGUCAUAUUGUUUUGGCAUUAGAUUUAUAGAUCUAAUUAUGUUCUUUGAAUUUUGAUGAUGUUUGUAAAAAUGCAUUAAAUUGUUAGCAAUUUAAACAAAAAUAUUUUGGAACUAUAUUUUCAUUGUGAAAACUCAUGAUUGAUUUAAUUCAUUCAUGCCGUUGUUUGUUUUCAAUGAAAAUAGUAACAGAAACAAAAAACCAAAAUUUGAAAUUUUUUUCAUUCUUCGUCCUGUCAUGAUAAUGCAAUUAUUUUGGUUGAAUUAAGGCGAAAGCUAUAUUCUUGUAUUACAUUUUCGUUUCGUUACAAAUUUAUUGUCGUUAAUUUUUUUUCUUGUUGCUGUGAACUUGAAUGAAUUUGAAUUCAAUUCUAAAUGGCGACACUGGAUUUUGUUCUGUUUUGUGAUCUGUGCUAGUUGAGAAAAAUUAAACAUAUCUGAAAAAUGUUACACAGCACUCUAAUUAUGGAUUUUUGAGCUUUCCCAUUAGGUUGAAGUUAUGCUGUUUGAUUACGUGUGUUCUCUCUUACUUGCUGUCAUGGAAUUCAAUGUGACAUCUGCACUUUGGGAAUGGUAGUUGCUCUUGGUCGUCUUUAGCAUGCAAAUGGAGUUAAACUCUUUGUUCUUGAUGCUCAUUAUCUUAUAUAAUUUUUGGAUUUCAUUGGAACCUAUCAUAUGGUAUAAAACGUAGUUACAAUUCCCGUAAAAGUAUAGAACUUGGUUCCAAAAUGGUAUCUUUAUGCCAGGUAGAAUUGUAGUGGCAGUAAUUGUGAGAGGGGGUUGAAGGUUUCAUAUCUCGUUGACUGUUGUGGUUAUCUUAGUGUUUGUAAAUGAUUAUGAGUUACCAAAGGUAGGGUGAGGUGGUUUACUUUGAAGAAGUGAUAUUGUAGUACUGAAGUUCAUUUGUGGUGUUGGGUUAAGAUAGUGCCUAAAUGGUGGUGGUAAUGAUGGCUAUUGUUGUGGCAAUACAUUGUGGUUCUUGAGAUGAAGGCAUCAACAAUGACCACUUUUGUCACAUUGACCACUUUUCACUGUCUAAUUUACUACAAAAAUAUUAGAAAUUCUAUAAA